This 505-nucleotide ribosomal RNA is filed under the name uncultured Glomeromycotina. Its description in RNAcentral is "partial small subunit ribosomal RNA". It matches the Rfam family "Eukaryotic small subunit ribosomal RNA", at positions 591 to 1092 of the family's 1831-position model. Lineage: Eukaryota; Fungi; Glomeromycota. The record is from RNAcentral.
CCAAUAGCGUAUAUUAAAGUUGUUGCAGUUAAAAAGCUCGUAGUUGAAUUUCGGGAUUGACACAUCGGUCGUGCCUUAAGGGGUAUGAACUGGUGUAGUCAGUUUCUCACCUUCUGGAGAACCGCGAUGUCCUUAAUUGGGUGCCGCGGGGAACCAGGACCUUUACUUUGAAAAAAUUAGAGUGUUUAAAGCAGGCAUUUUGCUUGAAUACAUUAGCAUGGAAUAAUAAAAUAGGACGGAUGGUUCUAUUUUGUUGGUUUCUAGGAUCACCGUAAUGAUUAAUAGGGAUAGUUGGGGGCAUUAGUAUUCAAUUGUCAGAGGUGAAAUUCUUGGAUUUAUUGAAGACUAACUACUGCGAAAGCAUUUGCCAAGGAUGUUUUCAUUAAUCAAGAACGAAAGUUAGGGGAUCGAAGACGAUCAGAUACCGUCGUAGUCUUAACCAUAAACUAUGCCGACUAGGAAUCAGACGAUGUUAAUUUUUUAAUGACUCGUUUGGCACCUUACG